RNAcentral lists this long non-coding RNA (536 nucleotides) under Gossypium raimondii (Peruvian cotton). RNAcentral's name for it is "long non-coding RNA (GRAI_LNC007423)". The record is from RNAcentral. Lineage: Eukaryota; Viridiplantae; Streptophyta; Magnoliopsida; Malvales; Malvaceae.
GGCGGCAGAGAUGGAGGAGAUUCGUCGGAGUCAAUGGUGACAAAGGGAGGAGCGGUGAACUGGUUCGUCAUCGGUUUAUUGUGGACGGCGGUUCAUGCGCCUCGCGUUCGUAUGUACGGACCAUGGUGGGGUGGUGCAAUGGCUUUCUUGGAGGCCUGUUUGGAGUUGUUCUGUUGAAGGUGAAAAAGAAAGGGAAACAAAAGAAAGAAGGUAGAAUUUGAGAAAGAUUUUUAGUUUGUGUUUUUUUUUCUUUCUUUGGUCGGUCAAAUAGGGGGUAAUUGGGUUGUGUGUUUUUUUAGGGUGAAAAGAAAGCUAGGAUGUGAUAGGUGAAAGGAUAGAAUUUGAUGGGUGAAAGUUUUUUUAUGGGGUAGUGGAGUUGUAGUUUUCUAGGUGAAAAGAUAGAUGUGAUAGGUGAAAGCUUGAUGGGUUUUUUUUAUUUGAAAAAGGGUUGGACAGUUAGGGGGAAAAUUUUGGGUCUUAAUUUUUGAUUUUUUUGAUUUUGGGUAGGUAUGAUGGAUUUGGGUUUUGGUUAAUGG